This 253-nucleotide ribosomal RNA is filed under the name uncultured bacterium. RNAcentral's name for it is "partial 16S ribosomal RNA". It matches the Rfam family "Bacterial small subunit ribosomal RNA", at positions 524 to 776 of the family's 1533-position model. The record is from RNAcentral.
UACGAAGGGUGCAAGCGUUACUCGGAAUUACUGGGCGUAAAGCGUGCGUAGGUGGUUUGUUAAGUCUGUUGUGAAAGCCCCGGGCUCAACCUGGGAAUGGCAAUGGAUACUGGCAAGCUAGGGUGCGGUAGAGGGUAGUGGAAUUCCCGGUGUAGCGGUGAAAUGCGUAGAGAUCGGGAGGAACACCAGUGGCGAAGGCGGCUACCUGGACCAGCACUGACACUGAGGCACGAAAGCGUGGGGAGCAAACAGG